Molecule: microRNA precursor, 96 nt
Filed under: Tetrahymena thermophila SB210
Lineage: Eukaryota; Ciliophora; Oligohymenophorea; Hymenostomatida; Tetrahymenidae
Description: Tetrahymena thermophila microRNA mir-598
Source: RNAcentral
UGACUGUGGCUAUGUCCAUGAUCAUGGCCAUGAUCAUGAUUGUGAUUGUGAUCGUGUUCAUGGUCAUGAUUGUGGUCGUGAUCAUGGUCAUGACAA